AAGACUAUAGACCUGCGGAGUACCUGCGGAGGGAUCAUUAUAGAGUUUUCUAAACUCCCAACCCAUGUGAACUUACCUUUUGUUGCCUCGGCAGAAGUUAUAGGUCUUCUUAUAGCUGCUGCCGGUGGACCAUUAAACUCUUGUUAUUUUAUGUAAUCUGAGCGUCUUAUUUUAAUAAGUCAAAACUUUUAGCAAUGGAUCUCU
RNAcentral lists this unclassified non-coding RNA (204 nucleotides) under soil metagenome. Its description in RNAcentral is "partial contains 5.8S ribosomal RNA, internal transcribed spacer 2, and large subunit ribosomal RNA". The record is from RNAcentral.